Long non-coding RNA from Cherax quadricarinatus, 1463 nucleotides. RefSeq lists it as uncharacterized. Lineage: Eukaryota; Metazoa; Arthropoda; Malacostraca; Decapoda; Parastacidae. The record is from RefSeq and is a predicted model, not a curated record.
UCAAGUACCUGGGUACUGGGAGGUAAUCAAGUACCUGGGUACUGGGAAGUAAUCAAGUACCUGGGUUCUGGGAAGUAAUCAAGUACCUGGGUACUGGGAAGUAAUCAAGUACCUGGGUACUGGGAGGCAAUCAAGUACCUGGGUACUGGGAGGUAAUCAAGUAUCUGGGUACUGGGAAGUAAUCAAGUACCUGGGUAGUGGGAAGUAAUCAAGUACCUGGGUACUGGGAAGUAAUCAAGUACCUGGGUACUGGGAAGUAAUCAAGUACCUGGGUACUGGGAAGUAAUCAAGUACCUGGGUACUGGGAAGUAAUCAAGUACCUGGGUACUGGGAAAUAAUCAAAGUUUAAUACAAGGAAAGGUACAGUAAUGCCAUUCCUUGGAUCAAGAGCCCCUGUUAACACUUAUUAUAUAUAGUCACAACACUUGACAGAGUCCACCUUGCUGCUGAUGUAUUUGUGGUCAUUAUAAAUAAAAAAUAUAUAUUGCACGUUAAUAUAUCUAGCGAUGUGUGUAGCAGUUGGCACCCCUGACCUACAACCUCCAGUAACACCCAGCCAAUUGGUAUUUUACCGAAUUAUGCGUAAAAAAUGGCUGGACUAGGCUUCGCUCUAUGACCCUUGUGGGUUUAGCGCUUAGUUUUGAUUAUAAUAAUAACUGAAUAAUGAAUUAGUGAGUCAAAUAUUUGAAAAAAAAAAAACAGUUUGGUUGCCCACACUGUUCUAUUGUAACUAUUUUUGCGAAGAUAUAUUUUUUUUUAUACGAUUUGUAGUUAUGGACGGCAAUUUUUUUUUCUAUUAAAGAUCAUUUAAUCCAAACGAUUUAUGAAAUUCUCAUUAAGUUUAUAAAGAAACGAGAGAGGAGGGAACAUGACAGUUGUCAGCUGUGUCAGCCCAGGUCAACACACAUUGUGUUGUAGAUGCAGAAGUGUCUGGAGAUGAUGUCAUGCCUAAACUGAAUGAGUUGCGACGUUUCAAGAUCCCCUUCUUGGGUGACAGUACAUCUGAAGUCUUCUUUGAAUCCCUGAUAUCCUGGGGUGAAAGAUACUAUUAAGAAAACUUGGACAUAAUACAACAUUUAAAUCUUUAUGAGAACUUAAUUGUACAGUACCGAUUUACCUUCCUGCAUUUAUGAAUCCUCGUUGUACUAGUAUACUUAUAGAACCUGGAAGGCUUGCGAGCCAAAGAAGAUUUGGAGGAAAAGUCUUUCAGGCUGCGAGUUGCAGGAAGAAAACUCAACAGCUUUGGUAUUGGACCUCAACCUUGGAAAUGAUUCUCCACCAUUUAGGGAAGCGCUGAAACCAGACAUAAGAAGCAUGCAGCAAAAAUCACAUUAUGAGGACAAAUUUCGAUUCUACAAUAAAAAUUAAUCAAGUCUUAAGCAACCUGACUAAAUCUUAUUCAUGGUUCAAGAUUAGUCAUCAUAAAUCAUCCAGCAGUAAUUACUUAGAGCGUGUGGAUGCAG